UGAAUACGAGACGCUAAGGCGUCGAAGUAGUGUAUGUCAUACUUCCAAGAAAAGCUUGCACUGUCAUAGAUAAAAAACGCCUGUACCAUAACCGACACAGGUGGGUAGGUAGAGUAUACUAAGGGGCGCGAGAUAACUCUCUCUAAGGAACUCGGCAAAAUAACUCCGUAACUUCGGGAGAAGGAGUGCCUUAUUCGUAAGGUUGCAAUAACAAGAUCCAAGCAACUGUUUAUCAAAAACACAGGUCUCCGCUAAGUCGUAAGACGAUGUAUGGGGGCUGACGCCUGCCCAGUGCCAGAAGGUUAAAGAAGUUGGUUAGCAAUUGCGAAGCUGAUAACUGAAGCCCUGGUGAACGGCGGCCGUAACAAUAACGGUCCUAAGGUAGCGAAAUUCCUUGUCGGGUAAGUUCCGACCCGCACGAAAGGCGUAAUGAUUUGGAUACUGUCUCGGAGAGGGGCUCGGUGAAAUAGACUUGUCUGUGAAGAUGCGGACUACCUGCACCAGGACAGAAAGACCCUAUGAAGCUUUACUGUAACUUGAAAUUGAAAUUGGACUUUAUUCGCGCAGUAUAGGUGGGAGGCGUUGAUUAUAAUCUUGUGGGAUUAUUGGAGCCAUCAGUGAGAUACCACUCUUGUAAUGUUAGAUUUCUAACUUUGAAUCAUUAUCUGGUCAAAGAACAGUUUCAGGCGGGCAGUUUGGCUGGGGCGGUCGCCUCCUAAACGGUAACGGAGGCGUACAAAGGUUUCCUCUGAACGGUUAGAAAUCGUAUCUAGAGUGUAAAGGCAUAAGGAAGCUUGACUGUGAGACCUACAAGUCGAGCAGGGACGAAAGUCGGUCUUAGUGAUCUGACGGUACUGAGUGGAAAGGCCGUCACUCAACGGAUAAAAGUUACUCUAGGAUAACAGGCUGAUCUCCCCCAAGAGUUCACAUCGACGGGGAGGUUUGGCACCUCGAUGUCGGCUCAUCGCAUCCUGGGGCGGUAGUACGUCCCAAGGGUUGGGCUGUUCGCCCAUGAAAGCGGUACGCGAGCUGGGUUCAGAACGUCGUGAGACAGUUCGGUCCAUAUCCGGUGUAGGCGUUAGAAUAUUGAGAGGAGCCUUCUUUAGUACGAGAGGACCGAGAAGGACAUACCUCUGGUGUACCAGUUAUCGUGCCAACGGUAAACGCUGGGUAGCUAUGUAUGGAGUGGAUAACCGCUGAAAGCAUCUAAGUGGGAAGCCCACCUCAAGAUAAGUAUUCUCA
RNAcentral lists this ribosomal RNA (1242 nucleotides) under metagenome. RNAcentral describes it as "bacterial LSU rRNA". It matches the Rfam family "Bacterial large subunit ribosomal RNA", at positions 1564 to 2816 of the family's 2925-position model. The record is from RNAcentral.